Molecule: RNase P RNA, 405 nt
Filed under: Acidobacteriota bacterium
Lineage: Bacteria; Pseudomonadati; Acidobacteriota
Description: RNase P RNA component class A
Rfam family: Bacterial RNase P class A
About the family: Ribonuclease P (RNase P) is a ubiquitous endoribonuclease, found in archaea, bacteria and eukarya as well as chloroplasts and mitochondria.
Source: RNAcentral
CAAGCGGGCCGGACGGUCGCGGGCGCGCAAGCGCGCGAGGAAAGUCCGAACUCCGCAGAGCGAUGUGCCAGGUAACGCCUGGGACCUUGGUCUCAAAGCCAAGGGACGGAAAGUGCCACAGAGAAAAUACCGCCUGGGCCGCAAGGCCCCGGUAAGGGUGAAAAGGUGCGGUAAGAGCGCACCGGCCGGCUGGCAACAGACGGCGCAUGGCAAACCCCACAUGGAGCAAGACCAAAUAGGCAGGGAGUCCGGGGAAACCUGGACGCGAACCGGCUCGGCUCGCCAAACCUGCGGGUAGGUCGCUGGAUCCAGAUCGCGAGGUCUGGACUAGAGGAAUGACCGUCCCUCUCGCCGUUCCUUGGAACGACGGGGGGACAGAAUUCGGCUUACAGGUCCGUUGGCACA